UCUAGAUAACGGAGAUUUCUC
This 21-nucleotide non-coding RNA is filed under the name Arabidopsis thaliana (thale cress). The record is from RNAcentral. Lineage: Eukaryota; Viridiplantae; Streptophyta; Magnoliopsida; Brassicales; Brassicaceae.